UCCUCAAGACCAGAGCCUUCCCUCGUG
RNAcentral lists this non-coding RNA (27 nucleotides) under Mus musculus (house mouse). The record is from RNAcentral. Lineage: Eukaryota; Metazoa; Chordata; Mammalia; Rodentia; Muridae.